RNAcentral lists this ribosomal RNA (430 nucleotides) under uncultured bacterium. RNAcentral describes it as "bacterial SSU rRNA". It matches the Rfam family "Bacterial small subunit ribosomal RNA", at positions 355 to 775 of the family's 1533-position model. The record is from RNAcentral.
UGCGGAAUUUUAGAUAAUGGAGGGAACUCUGAUCUAGCGACGCCGCGUGCAGGAAGAAGGUCUUCGGAUUGUAAACUGCUGUGGUAAGGGAAAAAUGCUAUGUAGAGUGGAAAGCUACAUAGAGGGAUGGCACCUUACUAGAAAGCCCCGGCUAACUACGUGCCAGCAGCCGCGGUAAUACGUAGGGGGCGAGCGUUACCCGGAAUCACUGGGCGUAAAGGGAGCGUAGGUGGCCUAACAUGUCAACUGUGAAAACCCGGAGCUCAACGCAGGAAGUGCAGUUGAAACGGGGAGGCGUGAGGAGGGUAGAGGAAGACGGAACUGCCAGUGUAGGGGUAAAAUCCUUAGAGAUUGGCAGGAACGCCUGUGACGAAGGUGGGUUUCUGGGCCGGUUCUGACACUGAUGCUCGAAAGCCAGGGGAGCGAACGG